This 424-nucleotide ribosomal RNA is filed under the name uncultured bacterium. Its description in RNAcentral is "bacterial SSU rRNA". It matches the Rfam family "Bacterial small subunit ribosomal RNA", at positions 355 to 775 of the family's 1533-position model. The record is from RNAcentral.
UGAGGAAUAUUGGUCAAUGGACGAGAGUCUGAACCAGCCAAGUCGCGUGAAGGAAGACGGCCCUACGGGUUGUAAACUUCUUUUGUAAGGGAAUAAAUAGUCUUACGCGCUAAGACGUUGCAGGUACCUUACGAAUAAGGAUCGGCUAACUCCGUGCCAGCAGCCGCGGUAAUACGGAGGAUCCGAGCGUUAUCCGGAUUUAUUGGGUUUAAAGGGUGCGCAGGCGGCAUGUUAAGUCGGCGGUGAAAUUUUGCAGCUCAACUGUAAAAGAGCCUUCGAAACUGGCAAGCUUGAGUGUGGAUGAAGUAGGCGGAAUUUGUGGUGUAGCGGUGAAAUGCAUAGAUAUCGCAAAGAACACCGAUUGCGCAGGCAGCUUACUAAACCAUAACUGACGCUCAUGCACGAAGGCGUGGGGAUCAAACAG